AUGCAAUCGCUGAAGCCCCGCCGCUUUCCCAAGCUAUGCCGCCGAUGGAUCUCGACGGACUCCGUGGCCGAUCUGCCCGCCCGGUCCUCGAGCUCCGAGUCCGGUCUGCAGGCGCUCGCUCUAACCCUUAACAAGCGCCUCGCCGACGAGGCCGGCAAGAACAACGACAACCUCAUCUUCUCGCCGGUGUCAGUCUACGCGGCGCUAUCCCUGGUGGCCGCCGGCGCCCGCGAGCGCACCCUCGCGGAGAUGCUCGGCGUCCUCGGCGCAGCGUCUCGUGACGACCUCGCGGGUUCCGUCCGUGCACUGGCGGAGCAGGCCCUUGCCGACCGGUCACAUACCGGCGGGCCAUAUGUCAACUUCGCGUGCGCCGUGUGGCACGACAAGACGAGGCCUCUCAAGCCCGCGUACGCCGACGCCGCCGUCAAGUCGUACAAGGCGCAGACGCACGCUGUAGACUUCCACGAAAAGCCGGUGGAAGCAGCGAAGCAGAUCAACGCAUGGGUGGCGGCGUCCACCAAUAACCUCAUCCCCUCCAUCAUUCAUCCACGCGCACUGUCCGAGCUGACCGACCUCGUGCUCGCCAAUGCCAUCUACUUCAAGGGUGAGUGGCUCAAGCCUUUCCGCAAGGACCAGACCAAGGAGGACAAAUUCCACCGCCUCGAGGGCGGCAUCGUCGACGUGCCCUUCAUGCGUUACCGUGGCAGGCAGCGCAUUGCGUGCCAUGACGGGUUCAAGGUGCUCCAACUUUACUACGAGAGGGGCCAGCAGUUGGCUGCUCAGCCAUCGGCGCUCUACUCAAUGUGCAUCUUCCUCCCAGACGACCAUGACGGGCUAUGGCGGCUCACUGACAAGAUCGCAUGCAACAAUGACUUUUUGCGCGAGCACCUGCCGACGGGCACCGUCCUGGUCGGCGACUUUCGCCUGCCCAAGUUCAAGCUCGCCUUAUCCACAGACAUGACAAACGUUCUCCGAGACUUGGGACUAAAGGACGCUUUCGACCUGUGGAAGGCCGACUUGGCCGACAUGGUGGAGCAGAAGCCCGGCGUGAACCUGGCACUAGAGAAAGUGUUACACAAGGCUGUCAUCGAGGUAAACGAGGAAGGCACGGAGGCGGCUGCCGCCACCGCUGCUUGUCUUUGCAGAAGUACACGGGCCUACAAACCGCCGGCGCGUGUGGACUUUGUCGCUGAUCAUCCGUUUGCCUUCUUCGUGAUGGAGGAGGUCUCGGGUGCAAUUCUCUUCGCAGGACACGUCCUUGAUCCAUCAAGGGAGUGA
This 1278-nucleotide ribosomal RNA is filed under the name Triticum aestivum (bread wheat). RNAcentral describes it as "partial small subunit ribosomal RNA". The record is from RNAcentral. Lineage: Eukaryota; Viridiplantae; Streptophyta; Magnoliopsida; Poales; Poaceae.